AGAACGUAGCGAAAUGCGAUAAGUAAUGUGAAUUGCAGAAUUCAGUGAAUCAUCGAAUCUUUGAACGCACAUUGCGCCCGCCAGUAUUCUGGCGGGCAUGCCUGUCCGAGCGUCAUUUCAACCCUCGAACCCCUCCGGGGGGUCGGCGUUGGGGAUCGGCCCUGCCUUUGGCGGUGGCCGUCUCCGAAAUACAGUGGCGGUCUCGCCGCAGCCUCUCCUGCGCAGUAGUUUGCACACUCGCAUCGGGAGCGCGGCGCGUCCACAGCCGUUAAACACCCAACUUCUGAAAUGUUGACCUCGGAUCAGGUAGGAAUACCCGCUGAACUUAAGCAUAUCAAUAAGCGGAGGA
This 349-nucleotide unclassified non-coding RNA is filed under the name soil metagenome. RNAcentral's name for it is "partial contains 5.8S ribosomal RNA, internal transcribed spacer 2, and large subunit ribosomal RNA". The stretch from base 1 to 115 matches the Rfam family "5.8S ribosomal RNA", at positions 40 to 154 of the family's 154-position model. The record is from RNAcentral.